Molecule: transfer RNA, 83 nt
Filed under: Acidobacteriota bacterium
Lineage: Bacteria; Pseudomonadati; Acidobacteriota
Description: Acidobacteria bacterium (activated sludge metagenome) tRNA-Ser
Rfam family: tRNA
About the family: Transfer RNA (tRNA) molecules are approximately 80 nucleotides in length. Their secondary structure includes four short double-helical elements and three loops (D, anti-codon, and T loops).
Source: RNAcentral
GGAGAGUUAGCCUAAUUGGUAAGGCAGUAGCUUCGAAAGUUACCGAGUUUAUACUCUUCAGAGUUCAAGCCUCUGACUCUCCG